This 573-nucleotide ribosomal RNA is filed under the name Filobasidium stepposum. RNAcentral's name for it is "partial large subunit ribosomal RNA". It matches the Rfam family "Eukaryotic large subunit ribosomal RNA", at positions 98 to 657 of the family's 3401-position model. Lineage: Eukaryota; Fungi; Basidiomycota; Tremellomycetes; Filobasidiales; Filobasidiaceae. The record is from RNAcentral.
GCGGGAAGAGCUCAAAUUUGAAAUCUGGUGGCCUCAGGUCAUCCGAGUUGUAAUCUAUAGAAGUGUUUUCCGUGCUGGCUCAUGUACAAGUCCCUUGGAACAGGGCGUCAUAGAGGGUGAGAAUCCCGUCCUUGACAUGAACUACCAGUGCUCUGUGAUACAUUUUCAACGAGUCGAGUUGUUUGGGAAUGCAGCUCAAAAUGGGUGGUAAAUUCCAUCUAAAGCUAAAUAUUGGCGAGAGACCGAUAGCGAACAAGUACCGUGAGGGAAAGAUGAAAAGCACUUUGGAAAGAGAGUUAAACAGUAUGUGAAAUUGUUAAAAGGGAAACGAUUGAAGUCAGUCGUGCUCUUUGGAUUCAGCCGGUUCUGCCGGUGUACUUCCUUUGAGUGGGGUCAACAUCAGUUUUGAUCGCUGGAUAAAGGCUGGAGGAACGUAGCACCCCCGGGUGAACUUAUAGCCUCCUGUCACAUACAGUGGUUGGGACUGAGGAACGCAGCACGCCUUUAUGGCCAGGAUCCGUCCAUGUACGUGCUUAGGAUGUUGACAUAAUGGCUUUAAACGACCCGUCUUGA